GCGGUCUGAAAAUCACUUGGGGUCUACCGUGGCCUCUGGUGAGAUAACUGUGCCGACAGCAUAGGGAACACAAAGCUUAUUGCCCACGGUGAUGCGUGGGGAAUGAAACCCAUGUUCCUAUAACC
Molecule: small nucleolar RNA, 125 nt
Filed under: Charadrius vociferus (killdeer)
Lineage: Eukaryota; Metazoa; Chordata; Aves; Charadriiformes; Charadriidae
Description: Small nucleolar RNA ACA64
Rfam family: Small nucleolar RNA ACA64
Source: Rfam by way of RNAcentral